Ctenopharyngodon idella (grass carp) is the source of this 853-nucleotide long non-coding RNA. RefSeq lists it as uncharacterized. Lineage: Eukaryota; Metazoa; Chordata; Actinopteri; Cypriniformes; Xenocyprididae. The transcript has 3 exons. The record is from RefSeq and is a predicted model, not a curated record.
UGUAUUUAAUAUCCGCAUUCAUGUGUGUGACACACGAAUGCAAAGUCAUUUUAAACUUGUUCUUUUUCUUUUAAGAUAUACACAGUAAGAAGCGUUCGUUGUCUUAAUGUUGUAUUGCUUGAACUCAGUAACAGCAGUAGAGAUUGGCGCAUUAUGACGCCAUAGUUAUGAUGCGUCUUGAGAGUUUCAACUGAGUGAAGCUGUUCAGAUCAGUUCAGCAGUUUGUGAUCGCAAUGAAUAGCCGAAAAAGCAAGAUGUUGACAAGGCUGACCAUGACACCUACUUUAGAGGUCCCUUCCAAAAACCAGUUACCUCCAUUCAUCCCUAACAUGAGGCCUCCAUCCCGACACAUGAAGAGGAGGUGGCAAAAAUGUGUUUUAUUUCCCGACAUUGGAAACUCAGUGAAUUCUGUAACCAGAGGAAACCCUUUACCAUCCAUCCCCGGCAUUCCAGCAGCACCCAAGCUCAAUCAGCACGGGAAGACCAGAGAUGCUGCUACCUUUCUCUCUGCCACUGACAGGGCAAGGCUUUUUGGCAUUAACAAGUGGUAUUAGAGUCCAGGGGAGAUAAAAUCCAAAAAAAAAAAAAGAAGAAAAAAGAAAUCUGUGCAACAAAGGUCUGUGCAAAAGGCAAAUGCAUAAAUCUGUGCAUUUUAAAAAAAUAAAUGGUGCUUAAAAAAAACUGUUUCAGAUUUGGUUCAUUGUCAUUUUGUGUGUGACUGUUCGAAACUUGGGAGGGGACCUAAUAGAAUUGAAUUUCUAGCGUGUAUACAAAAUAAAGGUGAAACAGAACGAAACCUUAUCCCUGUUCACAGCCUGGUCCAGCUUCCUUUGAACCACACUUCAUACAUCCC